Molecule: long non-coding RNA, 7830 nt
Filed under: Lactuca sativa (garden lettuce)
Lineage: Eukaryota; Viridiplantae; Streptophyta; Magnoliopsida; Asterales; Asteraceae
Description: long non-coding RNA (LSAT_LNC000726)
Source: RNAcentral
UUAGUUAUUCAAUUUGAUUAUUUAUAUUAAUUUAUAAAAAUACAAUUAAUAUAAAACCAAAAGUAAUAGAGUAUUUCUAUACAAGCUAAAACAAAUAUCUACUAAAUCAAAUGAUACAUAUUUCAAAAUCAAAAUUCGCCAUAAAUUUAACAUAAAACGCUAUUCGAUACAUAAUAUUCUAUCAUAUUCAUUGGUUGUGUAAGUUGUUCAAACUUUGAUUGAACAUCUACAUUUUUCUAUUGAAACUUCACAUUCUUUUGUUGAGCAUCCUCAUAUUUUUGUUGAGCAUCAUAUUGUUUGGCUGCGUCUCAACUAACAUCUUCAAUUUUUCAAUCUCAACAUUUGUCUUGGCACGCUCGUUAUCGGCAUUAUUUUAAGCUUCCUACUUUUUACUUUAAAAUUUUACCCAAUUGUAGCAAUCUGAUCUAAAUACAAAAGCUGAAAGUAUAAUGUUAUAAUUUGGUUAGAUUAUUCCAAGUACAAUAUUUUGAUAAGAAAAAAAGAUUAAAACAUAAGGGUAAAAUUGUUAUUUAACAAUUAGUAAUAAAUUGGAAACAAACGAUGUUUUCUUAUCCAAAAUCCAAAUACUUUAGUGAUAAAUGACUAACUUCAACUUAAUUUUAGGAUUAGCCUCUUUAAAACUCAAAAUGGAACUAUUUUUUGAAGUACAAUGUCCUAGUAUGUAUAAAAGAUAAAGUACAAUGCUAUAAUGGGGUCGAUUUUCCAAUGUAAAAAUAUCUUGAUAAGAAAAAUAUCAAUAAAUAAUGUUGUAAUUUUGUCAUUUAUUUAACCUAGACAUAAGGGUAAAACUGUCAUUUGCAGAAAACAAAGGAUGGUUUUGUUAUCACCUGGAGUAAAGUGGAGUGGAUUGGAACCUAAGAUAAGAAAAUUUGUCUCAAGAAGUUGAGUGGGUAUGAGUGGAGCAUAACCUGGAAUAAGAAAAAACAAACCAUAAAUUUUAUGGGAUCAACCAUCUACAUAAACAGAACUAAUCAUCAAUCCAGUUGAUAUAUGUAAAGGGAAGGAUAAACAAUAUUGUUCCAGGGGACACCCCUCUAUCACAGCCACAAGGCUUUGAGCCGAUACAAGAGUAUCACUGUCACCAAAAUAUCUGAAUGCCUACAAAUGAAAUCAUUCCUACCUAUUUAGUACUCUCUCUCGCUCUCUCUCUCUCUAUAACAUAUCUUAGCCAUUUUCCAGAUUUGCCCUUAUUACUUCUUCCAGAAUAAUCCUCUAGCAGCUUUGAUUCAUUUUCCCUUUUAACUACCAUAUUAUGAUCUAUAUCAAAAUAUGUCAAAUCUCAAAUAACAACAUAUCCUUUACUUAACGUUUUGUUUCAUUUUUUAACUUUUAUAGACAACAUAAUUACCAUUUUCUCUAUUUCCUAAUUUACUUUUGAUUGAGCUUGAUUUUGAUAAUAAUAAUAAAAAAAAUAGUGAUCACCUUUUAUUUGUUCGAAAUUUUCAUUGGGUUUCAACAGUUGAUUAAAUCUACAAAAGAAAAUUGGAACUAGAAUUAUAUAAUACUUCAUAGAAUUAGGAAUAUUUUGCCAUAUGUAUACAUAUAGGCAUGUUUUUUUAUGCAUAACUACUUAUGUGAAUCAGAUUUACCUGAAGUUAGAGAGGCUCAUUAUAUGAUUAAGAUGUAAGAGGUGAGAGGCAAAAAAUUGGAAUGGAGAAAAGAGAAGAGAUCAAACUGCAAAAUAAUCAAGCUACAAAAAAUCAAGUGUUUUCUAAAAUAAUCAGAUACCUGAAAUUAAAGGUAGAGUUAUAGUUAAAAGCUUGUAUAAUGCUUCAAAGAACUCCAAGCCUUUACAAACAGGAAAAGUAAUGUCAAUUCCAACACACACACACAUACACAAAAGCACUCAAACCACACACAACCAUACACACAUACUCAAAACAUAAACUGAGAUAUAUAUUGAUCAUAUCAUUGUACUCGCAUCACAAACAACCACUGACACAACACAAAUCAUUUAUGUCAUUACAGAGAGCAUAAUCAUCUUGUAAUGUCCCUAGAGAUAAACAUAUGAUGGAAUCCAACUACUAUACCUAUUAUGUCAAACUCUAACAAAAUUCCUGGUCUUGUGGGCAAACUUUCAAGCAAUCAAAGAAAUUCACUCCAACAAAGAAAUUAGGUCCUCUACAACGCAAAUCUUAGACAAAGGACAUAAGUAGUACUAUUGGAAGCAAUAAUUUAAUAGAAACCGACAUGAAUGAACUCGAGCCGGUCCUCGAGGUUCACGUAGGUCUUAGUGGUGAAUUAUGUAGGUUUUAAGAAGCAAACAAAACAGAGAAGAAGAUUACCUAGUAGGGACGAAGGCGAUCGAGAAAAAAAUGGUGAAGAUGAGUAGAACAAUACACAGCAAACAUGAUUAACGGAGCAGGUGGCAAACGUAAGAGCAAACAAGAGGAGUGAAGUCCGAUCGAUAAUGGUGUAAAUGGAGACAGACAGCGGAAUUUGAGGUGUGAAUUUGAAGGAUUGAAAAAGGAUUUUAAAAGAUCAAAGCCUCGUAUUUGAAGGAGAGACUGAAAAGGUAAUAUUGAUAGGGUUUAUCUUUUACCUUCAAAAUCCAAAUUGAACAUAGUGAGGAUGGAUUCGGUGUUUCUACUCGUCGGAAUAGCCAGACGGCGGUGGUCGAAAGAGGGAGAGAGGCGAUCGACCGUAGGUCAGAGGUUUGAUCGGGUAAACCUCAUUGAAUAACUUCGCAACCGAGUGCAAAAUGAGGUCAAGUGAUUUUACCCAUUCACCCUUCCCUUAAUAUGAAUACAGGGUGUAUUUUCCCAAUCUAAAACAAGUUCCAAAAAGGAGAGAAAAUGGGCUCUUAGGCUCAUUAAUAAAACAAUAAAUAGAGAAAAUGGUCUCUUAGGCUCGUAAAUAAAACAAUAAAUAUUUUUUAGUAUUAUUUAUUUGUUUAAAUAGAUGGGGUUAUGGUUAAUAUAAAGNUUUUUUUUUUUUUUUUUAAAAAAAAAAAAAAAAAAAAAAAAAACUUGAACUAAAAAUAUUAAAAAUAUAUAUAUAUUAAAGGUAAAAUAGCUACGAAGUUUCAUUUCGUAGCAAAGUAGCUACAUAAUUUAGUUCCUUAGAAGUUUUUGUAACAAAAAAGCUAUGAAUUUUUUCACCGUAGCAAAAUAGCUAUGAAAUCACUUCCGUAGCAAAAUUCCGAAGCAUAAUAGCUAUGGAAUUUCAUUCCGUAGCAAAAUAGCUACGGAAUUUAGAUUCGUAGUAAUUUUCGUAGCAAAAUAGCUAUGUAUUUUAAAUUCGUAGCAAAUUCGGUAACAAAAUACCUACGGAUUGCAAUUUCGUAACAAUUUUUCGUAAUUAGUUUUAAGUUUGUAACAAAAUUUAUUUCGUAGAAAUUUCUGUAACAAAAAAUCUACGGAAAAUCAUUUUGUAGUAUAUUCCAUAGCAAAAUAGCUACAAAAUUUGAUUCCGUAGCACUUUUCCAUAGCUAUUCAUGAUUUUUCUUNUAUAUAUAUAUAUAUAUUAUUAAUUUACAAAGACAGAUAUCUAAACAACUAUAAAUAAAAAAGUUUUUUUCUUUUCAAACAAUAAUUAGUUAAUCAUGUCAAAGUUAUGUAAUAAUUUAAAAAAGAAUCAAACACUCAUGCCAUAUAGUGAUGUUAAUUCACAUAACAUGGCAAAUAAAGUAUAACUAUUAAUGGAAAAUUAUAGCAACAAAAAACUCAAUAUUCAUCAUGCAUCUCGCAUUUUGUAAAAGACAUGUAAAUUUUAGUAUGAAAAUAGUUACCAGUAACAAAGCUCUUCAAGCAAUAAAGCAUAAAAAAACACCAUCAAUGUUGUUAUUAUCACUUCUCUCUUUGCAUUCCUAAUUAAUAUGAAAAAAACCAAUUCCACUUCUGAAUGGCAAGCACAUGAAAGUACAAAGCUAUAGUUUAAAUUUUAUAACAUGCAAUUAGAAGAAAAUAACUGAUUAUAUAAACCUAAAAUGAUUGAAAUUCAAGAUCCAAAUAAAAACCAAAAUUUAUGAUCAUCAAAAGAUAACUAAAUCAAUCAAUUACAUGAAAACUGAUUUGUAUUUUUGUUUCAUAUCUUUUAUACACUUGCAGGUUCUUCACUUGAAGUUUGAUAAAUUAUGACAUGAUUGGUUUGCAAUUAUCUUUUUUAAAUCUACCAUAUGGUUAAACAUCUUACCAAUAUCACAUAUCUGAUUAUAACUUCAAUAAUUUAAUACAUAAACUUGACAUGUUUACUUAAUUUACAGUUCAAUAACAUGUAAAAUUGCAGUUUGGGAUUUAAGUUUUCUUUCGAUUUUUUUAUCAUGUUGUUGAUGAGUUUCAUUCUUCUUGCUUAUCUACUGUUAUCAGAAGCAGCACUACCAAAACAAUAGACUAAAACUUGGAUCAAAAUUACUACUUUUACUCUUAGAUAACCAGUCAUGCAGACAAUAGACUAAAACUUGGUAAAUAACUUAGGAAGCUUGGCUAUAUUGAAAAUCAAAGUUGCUUCUUUUAUCUCGUGAUUGUAAACACCAUUCUAAAAAUCCAAUGAUAAGGUCACUACAAGGUCAAUUAAACAUAAAACUUGGUAAAUGAUAGUUAAGAAGCUUACCCAUCAGUAUAAUUAAAUACAAAAUCUGAUCUUAAAUUGUCUUAGAUUUAAUACACUGUGAUUUGUGGAGACUUUGUCUACUUAUAUUCGAGCACUUUUUUGCUUUUUUUCGUCAUAGAACUAAACAUUCUAUGUUGCAUGAUUAACAAAAAAAAAUGGUUUAUUGUCUAGGAGUUUACUAUGCUAAUAACCUUUUUCUUUUCUUUGAGAUGCUCAAAUGGAAUCGCUUGUUGAACUAUCAUAUCCUUAUUAAAACAUAAAAGUUUUCGAAAUAAUUAAAUCGGACAUGCUAUCGAUGUUUAUUAUGUUACUUUUAAGCUAUAUGAAAUUUCUGGCUGGGAAAGGUAAGAAAUAGCAAAAUAAUGUUUACUAAUUUUAAUGAGCAAUAAGUUUUGCUACUAAAGUAUCCAUAAAUCAACAAACUAAUUGACAAAACUGCAAAUUUGGUCCUUGUGGUUUUCAAAAACCUUUGGAUGGGGUCCAAAAAGUUUCCAGCUUGCAUGGAAGGUCCAAAAUCAAGGUUUUUCUGGGUUUUUGGUCCAAAAAAACUUAAAAAGACGAUUAUGCCCUUUUAUUUUCUUUUUUGUAUUUUUUAUAAUUAUUCUAAUGAUGUUUUAAUUAAAAAAUAAAGAAAAAAGAAAAAAAAAAGUAUCCCCACCCUCUCUCUUUCUCUCUGAACCAACACGCCUUAAGACACACACACACAUCUCUUGAGCUCUCCGACAAAACUAACACAUAUAGAGAAUCGAUCUCUCAAAACCCCCAUGUGUAUCUCAAUCUCUAAAAACAAUCGAUUUUCAAUCCAUCUGUAUGAACGAUCGUUGUGGUGUUUUGGCUCCAUCAAAUCGUCGGUAGUGUUACAGUAGUGGUGGUUGUUUUAUGGCUCUCCGAUGAACGGACCUGCGUAAGGGAUGCACCUAUGUUUUACUCUGAAGACGAAGGUUGAUGAUGGUCUGGUUGCGAUUUAUUCAAGACUUGUUCACAUACCCAUUCCUAUUUACUCCUCCUCCCUUCUUCUCCUUGUUCGAUUCUAGUCGAUUUCAAAUGGGAUUUUCAAGAUGUAAAUUGGGUUAAUCGAUCAAAGGUUGUAGUGUUUUUUGAUUUAAUUCGUUGGUGAAAUUAGUAUCGAGAGAUGGAGAAGCUGAAUUUUGUGAAAAACGGUGUCCUGAGACUGCCACCUGGGUUCAGGUUCCACCCGACGGAUGAAGAACUUGUGGUACAAUACUUGAAGCGCAAGGCCCAGUCUUGCCCUUUGCCGGCAUCCAUCAUCCCUGAGGUCGAUGUGAACAAGUCUGAUCCAUGAAAUUAGGGUUCUUAAGAACUGGUCAAAAAUUAGGGCUCGUCACAAUGUCUCAAGCUUUUCUUCCUUUUCCUCAGUACCUCAAUCGGAGAGGAUGUUCAGUGGUGAUGAUAGUGAAAAAGGGCAUGUAGGAGGUGAGAUGACGAUGGUGAAGAAACUAUGGUCUGUCACUAUCUCUCAAGCUUUCUAUCUGUUUAUCAGCGAAACUAUCUUGUUGUAAUCAUGUUAAUUAAAAGACGUAGAAGAAGAUGAUUUGGGAGAUUCUUGAAGAGAAACCAUGGUAGAUCGUAGGAUUUAACAGGGACAAAAAUUCCAUCUACAUCCUCCGUAUUCUUCAUAGAUUUCCAAAUAAACAACCAUCAUAAUCGCAAAAGGGCCNAAGAGAGAGGGGGGGGGGUGGGGAUACUUUUUUUCUUUUUUCUUUAUUUUUUAAUUAAAACAGCAUUAGAAUAAUUAUAAAAAAUACCAAAAAGAAAAUAAAAGGGCAUAAUCGUCUUUUUAAGUUCUUUUGGACCAAAAACCUAGAAAAACCUUGAUUUUGGACCUUCCAUGCAAGCUGGAAACUUUUUGGACCCCAUCCAAAGGUUUUUGAAAACCACAAGGACCAAAUUUGCAGUUUUGUCAAACUAAUUCAAGUUCCACAAUUUGUCAAACAAUUGGCAGGCGAAACACAAAUAAGUUAAAGAAAUGGGGAUCCACCAGUUACAUAUGCCGCAAACAUUCACUCAAAAUAAUACCCAAAAAAUAAGUAAUCAGUUAAAGUCAUUCAGGCAUUUCAACAAACACCUUACACUCAAUAUACAAAACCAAAAUCAAAUGUGUUGCAGAAAACCAGAAUAAAUCACGAACAGUAGACUCAUGUGAUGUAGGGAGAAUUCCAUGCCUAUUUGUUCUACAUUCACCAAGACUUAUGUCUUGCAAAGCAGGGCCAUUGACUGAUGUUUUUUGCUUCUUAUUAUUAAAGAACCAAAAGCCAAACAUACAACAAAAGUGAGUAAAAGAAUGCUAGUAUUAAAAGUUCAACUAUUCUACCAAUGAUUUGUACUAAACCUUAUGAAAAGAAGUAUACAAAUUGGUUACUGAAAACGCACAUAUGUUGAGAGGAUGACAAACAAACAACCACACACGUAUUUGAUGUACACAAAUCAUAUAGAAUAAGAAGACAUUUGAUUACUAACCUGAAAUCAGUGGGUUGAUUAGAAUAACCUUCAAAUUGAUGCCAGAAACCAAAUGUACUUAAUUUGAUGAUUAUGUUGAGAGAGACGAUAUUCAAAGAGACAGGCGACGAAGUCUAUGGGUAUCGUUUAUAGAGAGAUUUGCCCAACUUGACAGCCGUUUGAAUAAAAUUUAUAGAAGCAACAAAAACCCAAAUUGGCAACAAAACUGAUGUUAUCACUUGAGUAUACUAAAUGAAACAAUCAAUUAGGGAGAAAAAGAAUCAAAACAUGAGGAUAAACACGAUUGCAAGAAAAUAAGAUGAAAGGGAAAAAGAAAAAAAGUUGAUUUACCUUUCUAUGUGAUUAAGCCGCCUCUAUAUCUACAAUCUGAAAAAGAGAGCAAAUGUGAUUUUAGGUUUUAAUCAACUUCCUACAUUCAAAACAAACAUAAUUUUGAGGGGAUAAUGAGAAAAAAUAACAUCAAAGUGGAUCAUAUCAACCGACAUCUUCAUUUGUCGAAAUUAUACCAUCAAAUAAAAAAAAACAAAAACGCAUACUUAAAAAUCGAGAAAAUAAAAUUAAAUAUGCUUUUACUGGUUCAAGAAAACCACACGUUUGGUUGAAGAUGUAUAUGUAAAAAAUUGGAAGAUGCAUUCGAGGUAUAUACGACGUGGGAAGAAGCGUACUCCACUGAUUUCAGAUUUGGAUAGAAUUACAUUCCCGAUUUGCAGAAAAAAUCAUCUUGGUUUCAAAAGAGGUUAAAGAGAAUUCAAAUUUGAAAUUUUCAAUCCCAAAAAUCAA